AGAUAAGUUCGGAUUACAGAAAUUAGUAAAUAAAGAUUGAGAUCUUGGUUUAUUAACUUCUGUGAUUUCNNNNNNNNNNNNNNNNNNNNNNNNNNNNNNNNNNNNNNNNNNNNNNNNNNNNNNNNNNNNNNNNNNNNNNNNNNNNNNNNNNNNNNNNNNNNNNNNNNGAGGUUAACCGUAUAGGGGAGCCGUAGAGAAAUCGAGUCUUAAUAGGGCGUUUAGUUGCUGGGUAUAGACCCGAAACCAGGCGAUCUAUCCAUGAGCAGGUUGAAGGUUGGGUAACACUAACUGGAGGACCGAACCCACUGUCGUUGAAAAGCCAGGGGAUGACUUGUGGAUAGGGGUGAAAGGCUAAUCAAGCCUGGUGAUAGCUGGUUCUCCCCGAAAGCUAUUUAGGUAGCGCCUCGGACGAAUACCAUAGGGGGUAGAGCACUGUUUCGGCUAGGGGGUCAUCCCGACUUACCAAACCGAUGCAAACUCCGAAUACCUAUGAGUACUAUCCGGGAGACAGACUGCGGGUGCUAACGUCCGUAGUCAAGAGGAAAACAAUCCAGACCGCCAGCUAAGGCCCCAAAAUCAUAGUUAAGUGGGAAACGAUGUGGGAAGGCAUAGACAGCUAGGAGGUUGGCUUAGAAGCAGCCACCCUUUAAAGAAAGCGUAAUAGCUCACUAGUCGAGUCGGCCUGCGCGGAAGAUGUAACGGGGCUAAAACUAUGUGCCGAAGCUGCGGAUGUAUACUUUGUAUACGUGGUAGGGGAGCGUUCUGUAAGCCGAUGAAGGUGUGUUGAGAAGCAUGCUGGAGGUAUCAGAAGUGCGAAUGCUGACGUGAGUAACGACAAAACGGGUGAAAAACCCGUUCGCCGAAAGACCAAGGGUUCCAGUCCAACGUUAAUCGGGGCUGGGUGAGUCGACCCCUAAGGCGAGGCCGAAAGGCGUAGUCGAUGGGAAAAUGGUUAAUAUUCCAUUACUUCUGUGUAAUGCGAUGAGAGGACGGAGAAGGCUAAAUCAGCCUGGCGUUGGUUGUCCAGGUGAAAGGAUGUAGGCAUGUAUCUUAGGCAAAUCCGGGGUACUCUAUGCUGAGAUCUGAUAGCAAGCUGUACUUGUACAGCGAAGUGGUUGAUGCCAUGCUUCCAGGAAAAGUCUCUAAGCUUCAGUUACACAGGAAUCGUACCCGAAACCGACACAGGUGGUCAGGUCGAGUAGACCAAGGCGCUUGAGAGAACUCUGCUGAAGGAACUAGGCAAAAUGGUACCGUAACUUCGGGAGAAGGUACGCUGUUGUUGGUGAUGGAACUCGCUUCCUGAGCUGACGACAGCCGCAGAAACCAGGCCGCUGCAACUGUUUAUUAAAAACAUAGCACUCUGCAAACACGAAAGUGGACGUAUAGGGUGUGAUGCCUGCCCGGUGCUGGAAGGUUAAUUGAUGGGGUUAGCGUAAGCGAAGCUCUUGAUCGAAGCCCCAGUAAACGGCGGCCGUAACUAUAACGGUCCUAAGGUAGCGAAAUUCCUUGUCGGGUAAGUUCCGACCUGCACGAAUGGCAUAAUGAUGGCGGCGCUGUCUCCAGCAGAGGCUCAGUGAAAUCGAAAUCGCUGUGAAGAUGCAGUGUACCCGCGGCUAGACGGAAAGACCCCGUGAACCUUUACUGCAGCUUGACACUGAACUUUGACCUUACUUGUGUAGGAUAGGUGGGAGGCUUUGAAGCUGGAACGCUAGUUCCAGUGGAGCCGUCCUUGAAAUACCACCCUGGUAAUGUUGAGGUUCUAACUCUGUCCCGUGAUCCGGGACGAGGACCGUGUCUGGUGGGUAGUUUGACUGGGGCGGUCUCCUCCUAAAGAGUAACGGAGGAGUACGAAGGUGCGCUCAGCGUGGUCGGAAAUCACGCGUAGAGUAUAAAGGCAAAAGCGCGCUUAACUGCGAGACCCACAAGUCGAGCAGGUACGAAAGUAGGUCUUAGUGAUCCGGUGGUUCUGUAUGGAAGGGCCAUCGCUCAACGGAUAAAAGGUACUCUGGGGAUAACAGGCUGAUACCGCCCAAGAGUUCAUAUCGACGGCGGUGUUUGGCACCUCGAUGUCGGCUCAUCUCAUCCUGGGGCUGAAGCAGGUCCCAAGGGUAUGGCUGUUCGCCAUUUAAAGAGGUACGCGAGCUGGGUUUAGAACGUCGUGAGACAGUUCGGUCCCUAUCUACCGUGGGCGCUGGAAAUUUGAGAGGAUCUGCUCCUAGUACGAGAGGACCAGAGUGGACGAACCUCUGGUGUACCGGUUGUGACGCCAGUCGCAUCGCCGGGUAGCUAUGUUCGGAAGGGAUAACCGCUGAAAGCAUCUAAGCGGGAAGCCUACCUCAAGAUAAGAUUUCCCUAGGACUUUAUGUCCUCUAAAGAGCCGUUCGAGACUAGGACGUUGAUAGGUUGGAUGUGGAAGCAUAGUGAUAUGUGAAGCUGACCAAUACUAAUUGCUCGUGAGGCUUGACUAU
This 2468-nucleotide ribosomal RNA is filed under the name Acinetobacter baumannii. RNAcentral's name for it is "23S ribosomal RNA". It matches the Rfam family "Bacterial large subunit ribosomal RNA", at positions 595 to 2925 of the family's 2925-position model. The record is from RNAcentral. Lineage: Bacteria; Pseudomonadati; Pseudomonadota; Gammaproteobacteria; Moraxellales; Moraxellaceae.